UGCCAGACUCCUACGGGAGGCAGCAGUGGGGAAUAUUGCACAAUGGGGGGAACCCUGAUGCAGCGACGCCGCGUGGGUGAAGGAGUAUUUCGGUAUGUAAAGCCCUAUCAGCAGGGAAGAAAAUGACGGUACCUGAGUAAGAAGCCCCGGCUAACUACGUGCCAGCAGCCGCGAUAAUACGUAGGGGGCAAGCGUUAUCCGGAUUUACUGGGUGUAAAGGGAGCGUAGACGGCAGUGCAAGUCUGGAGUGAAAGGCGGGGGCUCAACCCCCGGACUGCUCUGGAAACUAUACGGCUGGAGUGCAGGAGAGGUAAGUGGAAUUCCUAGUGUAGCGGUGAAAUGCGUAGAUAUUAGGAGGAACACCAGUGGCGAAGGCGGCUUACUGGACUGUAACUGACGUUGAGGCUCGAAAGCGUGGGGAGCAAACAGGAUUAGAUACCCCUGUAUA
This 448-nucleotide ribosomal RNA is filed under the name uncultured bacterium. Its description in RNAcentral is "bacterial SSU rRNA". It matches the Rfam family "Bacterial small subunit ribosomal RNA", at positions 329 to 794 of the family's 1533-position model. The record is from RNAcentral.